This 1217-nucleotide ribosomal RNA is filed under the name metagenome. Its description in RNAcentral is "SSU rRNA". It matches the Rfam family "Eukaryotic small subunit ribosomal RNA", at positions 537 to 1777 of the family's 1831-position model. The record is from RNAcentral.
ACGAGGAUCUAUUGGAGGGCAAGUCUGGUGCCAGCAGCCGCGGUAAUUCCAGCUCCAAUAGCGUAUAUUAAAGUUGUUGCGGUUAAAAAGCUCGUAGUUGGAUCUCGGUUUCACUCAGGUGGUACACCUUGCGGUGUUCACUAUCUGGGUGGACGUUUCUGUUGGUUCGCUCUUGGUGCUCUUCAUCGGGUGCCAUUUGGUGGCCAGCACGUUUACUUUGAAAAAAUUGGAGUGCUCAAAGCAGGCGUUACAGCCUGAACAUUAGUGCAUGGAAUAAUGGAAUAGGAUCUCGAUUCUAUUUCGUUGGCUUUCGGAGUCGAGGUAAUGAUUAAUAGGGACAGACGGGGGCAUUCGUACUGCGACGUUAGAGGUGAAAUUCUUGGAUCGUCGCAAGACGAACUACUGCGAAAGCAUUUGCCAAGAAUGUUUUCAUUAAUCAAGAACGAAAGUUAGAGGUUCGAAGGCGAUCAGAUACCGCCCUAGUUCUAACCAUAAACGAUGCCAACCGGCGAUCCGUCGUCGUUAAUUGAAUGACUCGACGGGCAGCCUCCGGGAAACCAGAGUGUUUGGGUUCCGGGGGAAGUAUGGUUGCAAAGCUGAAACUUAAAGGAAUUGACGGAAGGGCACCACCAGGAGUGGAGCCUGCGGCUUAAUUUGACCCAACACGGGAAAUCUCACCAGGCCCGGACACCGGAAGGAUUGACAGAUUGAGAGCUCUUUCUUGAUUCGGUGGGUGGUGGUGCAUGGCCGUUCUUAGUUGGUGGAGCGAUUUGUCUGGUUAAUUCCGAUAACGAACGAGACUCUGGCCUACUAACUAGAAGGUCUAUCCUUUAUGGGUAGGCCUCUGCUUCUUAGAGGGACGGGCGGCGUUUAGCCGCACGAGAAUGAGCAAUAACAGGUCUGUGAUGCCCUUAGAUGUUCUGGGCUGCACGCGCGCUACACUGAAGGAAUCAGCAUGUUCUCCCCUCCCUGAAAAGGGCGGGUAACCCGUUGAAACUCCUUCGUGAUGGGGAUUGGAGAUUGUAAUUAUUCUCCAUGAACGAGGAAUUCCCAGUAGGCGCGAGUCAUCAGCUUGCGUCGAUUACGUCCCUGCCCUUUGUACACACCGCCCGUCGCUACUACCGAUCGAGUGAUUUAGUGAGGACUUCGGACUGGUCUUCAAGUUGGCUUCGGUCGGCUCGAAGUUCCGGAAAGAUGCCCAAACUUGAUCACUUAGA